AGGGUUUGCUAUGAGGAUUCACAGCUCCCUCUUCUGAGUUAAUGAAGAGAUUAGCUGGCAGAAUCGAACCUAUAACUUUGCUUUUGCCGCUACUGAGUAA
Molecule: non-coding RNA, 100 nt
Organism: Ricinus communis (castor bean)
Lineage: Eukaryota; Viridiplantae; Streptophyta; Magnoliopsida; Malpighiales; Euphorbiaceae
Source: Rfam